Non-coding RNA from Mycena polygramma, 91 nucleotides. Lineage: Eukaryota; Fungi; Basidiomycota; Agaricomycetes; Agaricales; Mycenaceae. The record is from the annotation of a GenBank genome assembly.
GACCCAGUGGCGAAAUUUAUCGCACCCGCAUCCCAUAGCUGCUCCAACGUAUUUGCGGUGGGAGUUCCUGGUUCGAAUCCAGGCUGGGUCG